UACGAAGGGGGCUAGCGUUGUUCGGAAUCACUGGGCGUAAAGGGCGCGUAGGCGGCUAGAUAAGUCGGGGGUGAAAGCCUGUGGCUCAACCACAGAAUUGCCUUCGAUACUGUAUGGCUUGAGACCGGAAGAGGUUAGUGGAACUGCGAGUGUAGAGGUGAAAUUCGUAGAUAUUCGCAAGACCACCAGUGGCGAAGGCGGCUGACUGGUCCGGAUCUGACGCUGGGGCGCGAAAGCGUGGGGAGCAAACAGG
RNAcentral lists this ribosomal RNA (253 nucleotides) under uncultured bacterium. RNAcentral describes it as "partial 16S ribosomal RNA". It matches the Rfam family "Bacterial small subunit ribosomal RNA", at positions 524 to 776 of the family's 1533-position model. The record is from RNAcentral.